Molecule: long non-coding RNA, 527 nt
Filed under: Gallus gallus (chicken)
Lineage: Eukaryota; Metazoa; Chordata; Aves; Galliformes; Phasianidae
Description: lncRNA (ENSGALG00010000383.1)
Source: RNAcentral
GAAGAGCUGAAGAAGGGAUGAGUGGGUGCAGGUAAGACAGAACAGCAGAAGUGGAGAGAAGCUGAAGAGGAGAAGUAUGAAUAGUAGAGCAAAAGUAGAGGAGGUGGAAAGAGAGGAAAGAGGCAAGAGAGAAGAGAGGAAGAGCAGAGAAAGAACAGAGCAGUAGAGAAGAGCGGACAGUGCUGUGAAAAAAAGAACAGUGCCAGAGAGCAGGUGAAGAAGAACGAAGAGCAGAAGAGGAAUGAAGAAGAGGUGUGAGGGCACAAGGAAGAAAGAUCAGAAGAGGAGAGGAGUGCAGUAAGAAGAAGGAGGAGAGAAGAUACGGGAAAAAGAACAGCAGAAGGGUGCAGAUGCAGAAGAGAGAUGACACAGGGAACAACAAGGAGCAGAAGAGGAGAGCAGUCAGAAGAAAGACAAGUGAGAAUACAGGGAACAAAGCAAAGCAGAGAGGAGUGCAGAGGCAGAAGAGGAGAGAGGAUACAGAGAAGAAAGAACGGUGGAAGAGGUGUGCAGAUGCAGAAUAAAGA